RNAcentral lists this ribosomal RNA (218 nucleotides) under uncultured bacterium. RNAcentral's name for it is "partial 16S ribosomal RNA". It matches the Rfam family "Bacterial small subunit ribosomal RNA", at positions 113 to 334 of the family's 1533-position model. The record is from RNAcentral.
UAGUCUGGGAAACUGCCUGAUGAGGGGGGAUAACUGCUGGAAACGGUAGCUAAUACCGCAUAACGUCGCAAGACCAAAGUGGGGGACCUUCGGGCCUCAUGCCAUCAGAUGUGCCCAGAUGGGAUUAGCUAGUAGGUGGGGUAAUGGCUCACCUAGGCGACGAUCCCUAGCUGGUCUGAGAGGAUGACCAGCCACACUGGAACUGAGACACGGUCCAG